UUGUUACUCCCUUCGUUCGAAAAAGCUUGUCCCUGAAAUGGAUGUAUCUAGCAUUAAGUUAGUGUUAGAUACAUCCAUCUGAGAGACAAGAUUGGGACAAGUUUUUUCGGAUAGAGGAAGUAUUAU
Non-coding RNA from Triticum aestivum (bread wheat), 126 nucleotides. NCBI's taxonomy places the organism in Eukaryota, Viridiplantae, Streptophyta, Magnoliopsida, Poales, Poaceae. The record is from Rfam.